Molecule: long non-coding RNA, 374 nt
Filed under: Junco hyemalis (dark-eyed junco)
Lineage: Eukaryota; Metazoa; Chordata; Aves; Passeriformes; Passerellidae
Description: lncRNA (ENSJHYG00000006159.1)
Source: RNAcentral
AGAAGCCCUCCCACAACCUCACAGCAGGGUGGUCCAGGAUGUGGCCACCAAAAGCACAGCAGUGCAGCUGAGACUGCCUCCCUGCAUAAAAAACUUCUCUGAAACAAAACAAAACAAAAACCUCUCAGCUGGCACCAUCUCACAUGGGAGGAGGCAGAUACCAGCUGAGAGGCAAAUCCAGAGCCUGCUACCCUCCUCCAGGACAUGUGCCUGCCUGCUUCCCAAUUUGGAAACAACAAUGUGUUCAGGCCACGGUAGAAGAAAGGAGCAAGAGCACUACAGUUUCCCCUCUGGCUGCCAGCAAACCACCUUAGGAUUCAUUCUGAAUGUUUCAGGUGAGAUUUGUAUCUAUCUGGACAGCUGUAAGAGUUAUU